AGAGUUUGAUCCUGGCCAGAUUGAACGCUGGCGGAAUGCUUUACACAUGCAAGUCGAACGGCAGCACGGGAGCUUGCUCCUGGUGGCGAGUGGCGAACGGGUGAGUAACAUAUCGGAACAUAUCCUAUCGUGGGGGAUAACUAGUCGAAAGACUAGCUAAUACCGCAUACGUCCUGAGGGAGAAAGCGGGGGCUCGCAAGACCUCGCGCGAUUGGAGUGGCCGAUAUCUGAUUAGCUAGAUGGUGAGGUAAAAGCUCACCAUGGCGACGAUCAGUAGCUGGUCUGAGAGGAUGAUCAGCCACACUGGGACUGAGACACGGCCCAGACUCCUACGGGAGGCAGCAGUGGGGAAUUUUGGACAAUGGGCGAAAGCCUGAUCCAGCCAUUCCGCGUGAGUGAAGAAGGCCUUCGGG
RNAcentral lists this ribosomal RNA (413 nucleotides) under uncultured bacterium. Its description in RNAcentral is "bacterial SSU rRNA". It matches the Rfam family "Bacterial small subunit ribosomal RNA", at positions 8 to 422 of the family's 1533-position model. The record is from RNAcentral.